Long non-coding RNA from Oncorhynchus tshawytscha (Chinook salmon), 790 nucleotides. RefSeq lists it as uncharacterized. The record is from RefSeq and is a predicted model, not a curated record. The transcript has 2 exons. Lineage: Eukaryota; Metazoa; Chordata; Actinopteri; Salmoniformes; Salmonidae.
CGAAGAGGUAACGUUAGGUGAGAAGCCUGACCACGGAGACAGGGGUGAGAAGGUGGUGAAGCGUACUUCAUGAGCUGUAACCGAAGAACUACUAACAGUUGGAAAGUUUGAGAAAAUACAGGAAAAUCAGACUGAAUGAGGUAUUUGCAGACCUGGACCAGAACAGAGACCUGGAGUUUGACUUCCAAGAGUUGAUCCCGUUGAUCGCCAUGGUGACAUCAGCAUGCCACGACCUCUUCAGCCCAGAUCACAACCAUUAGUGGCACAAUGUAAAGGCGUGACUGUGUUUCAGCAAAACACACACAGUGUAACCCUCUCACAAAGAUGAAAUGAUGAAGCUACUUUGUUUACAUGCCAUUGAAUUUCUUAUGGUAUAUAAUAAUAGUUGUAUAUAUAAACAUUUUACAAAUCAAUGACAAUCCAUAGAUGCCUACAUAACAAUAUGUGUUGUGAAAUUACAGUACAUUAACGAGAACACAGUCCAUCAGAUUUUGAGUUUUGGUCUUGCAUUGUGGAGAGACAUGAAAUGUACCAUUCUAACACAAAGUGGUCAUGAAGUUAUUACUAUUCCUCUCCCUUCACCCUCUUAAAUGGCGUUCCAUAAAUUCCAUGGACCUCUUCCAGGCAUCUUCUUGGGCGGCAGCGUGGGGUGCCAGGUGCCCUCCCCAGAGAGUGAUCACUAUAGGAGAAAAAAAUACAUAACAGGACAGCAUGGGAAAUAACCUGGAAAAAUGAAUUACAUUGUCAUCCUCUCAUUGAUAUAUGUUAAUUAAAAUGUCUAUUACCCUUC